ACGCUCGACACCUACGGAGGCAGCAGUGGGGAAUAUUGCACAAUGGGGGAAACCCUGAUGCAGCAACGCCGCGUGAAGGAAGAAGGUUUUCGGAUCGUAAACUUCUAUCAAUAGGGAAGAAAGAAAUGACGGUACCUAAAUAAGAAGCCCCGGCUAACUACGUGCAAGCAGCCGCGGUAAUCUGAGCGGGCUGGCAAGGC
Molecule: ribosomal RNA, 200 nt
Filed under: uncultured bacterium
Lineage: Bacteria
Description: partial 16S ribosomal RNA
Rfam family: Bacterial small subunit ribosomal RNA
Source: RNAcentral